AUUAUUUGUAUUAACUAUUUUAGAAUUUAAGACUGACACAUUUUCAUAUGCCAUAUGAAAUGUUUAUGUGUUUAAUGUUUAAUCUAUUCAAAAAUAUUAGAAAAAAAGAUUGCGCCACUGUGCUCCAGCCUGGCAACAGAGCGACACUCUGUCUCAAAAAAAAAAAAAAGAGACAGAUACAGAAGUAAGCUAUACACAGCCAGCUAGAAGAUUCCAUGGUGAGAACUUUUAAAACAUAGACAAGUGAUACUCAAUUUUAAGUUAGAGCCUGUACUAUGCACUGCUUUAAUCCUCUGGACUUACUGCAAACCGGAAUAACAAACAAAAAUUGAAUUCAUUUGAAAAAUAAAGGAGAAGAAGAAAAGACGUAAAAUUGUUUGGAAAAAUAAUGCAUUUAAUAUUUUUUUUUUUUUUUCUGAGAUGGAGUCUUGCUCUGUUACCCAGGCUGGAGUGCAGUGGUGUAAGCUUGGCUCACUGCAACUUCUGCCUUCCAGGUUCAAGCGAUUCUCAUUCCUCAGCCUUACAAGCAGCUGGGACUACAGAUGCAUGCCACCAUGCCUGGCUAAUUUUUGUAUUUUUAGUAGAGAUGGGGUUUCACCAUGUUUGCCAGGCUG
RNAcentral lists this long non-coding RNA (614 nucleotides) under Pan troglodytes (chimpanzee). RNAcentral's name for it is "long non-coding RNA NONPTRT005042". Lineage: Eukaryota; Metazoa; Chordata; Mammalia; Primates; Hominidae. The record is from RNAcentral.